Molecule: long non-coding RNA, 348 nt
Organism: Amphiprion ocellaris (clown anemonefish)
Lineage: Eukaryota; Metazoa; Chordata; Actinopteri; Pomacentridae
Source: Ensembl
GCUAGUGGGAGCAAAGUUUCAGUGCAUUCUGUUGAUGUAGACGGCGUGAAAACGGAAACAACAAGUAUGCCGGCUCACUGUGCUGCAUACAGUUACACACUACGUCGUACGAUUGCGACAAGGAAACUUGGAAUGACUUUUCAUAGGUUUCCCAGAGACUAUGGGUUGAAGAGGAAUUGGAAGUUUGUCGGCUUAGACCUGGUGUCAUUCCAUCAGUGUUAAACUUCCCAGCUCAUCUUGGAAGAGUACAUGCCAGAAAGACCACAACCAAGCAGCCUUGAGAUCUUAGGCAACGUCUCCCUCAGACCAAAGAACUACAGACUUCACAACCUGCUCAAACUCUUGGUA